AAAUUGAAGAGUUCCGAUCAUGGCUCCGAUUGAACGCUGGCGGCAGGCUAACAUGCAAGAAUCCGAACGGUAACAGGAAGCAGCUUGCUGCUUCGCUGACAGUGGCGGACGGGUGGUAAUGUCUGGAAACUGCCUGAUGGAGAGGGGAUAACUACUGGAAACGGUGGCUAAUACCGCAUAACGUCGCAAGACCAAAGAGGGACCUUCGGGCCUCUUGCCAUCGGAGAAAUAUUGCCCAGAUGGGAUUAGCUUGUUGGUGAGGUAACGGCUCACCAAGGCGACGCGUCCCCUAGCUGGUCUGAGGAUGACCAGCCACACUGGAACUGAGACACGGUCCAGACUCCUACGGGGAGGCAACGGUGAGAAUAUUGCACAAUGGGCGCAAGCCUGAUGCAUAUGCCGCGUGUAUGAAGAAGGCCUUCGGGUUGUAAAAGUACUUUCAGCGGGGAGGAAGGUGUUGUGGUUAAUAACCACAGCAGUGACGUUACCCGCAGAAAAGCACAAAACUGCUCCGUGCCAGCAGCCGCGGUAAUACGGAGGUGCAAGCGUUAAUCAGGUGCACAGAAUAAAAGCGCACGCAGGCGGUCUGUCAAGUCGGAUGUGAAAUCCCCGGGCUCAGCACGGAACUGCAUUCCGAAACUGGCGGAAGCGAAGGAGUCUUAAUAGAGGGGGUAGAAUUCGAGGUGUAGCGGUGAAAUGCGUGAAGAUCUGGAGGAAUACCGGUGGCGAAGGCAUUUACUGGACAAAGACUGACGCUCAGGUGCAGCGUGGGGAGCAAACAGGAUUAGAUACCUGGUAGUCCACGCCGUAAACGAUGUCUACUUGGGUUGUGCCCGCUUGAGGCGUGGCUUCGGAGCUAACGCGUUAAGUAGCAGACCGCACGGGGAGUACGGCCGCAAGGUUAAAACUCCAAUGUGACGGGGCCCGCGGCGGUGAGAAUGUGGUUUAAUUCGAUGCAACGCGAGAAGAACCUUACUGAUGUGACAUCACAGAACUUUCCGGAAUGGACUGGUGCCUUCGGGAACUGUGGACAGGUGCUGCAUGGCUGUCGUCAGCUCGUGUUGUGAAAUGUUGAGUUAGAAGUCCCGCAACGAGCGCAACCCUUAUCCUUUGUUGCCAGCGGUCCGGCCGGGAACUCAAGGAGACUGCCAGUGAUAAACUGGAGGAAGGUGGGGAUGACGUCAAGUCAUCAUGACGAGGGCUACGUGCUACAAUGGCGCGCAUACAAGAGAAGCGACCUCGCGAGCAAAAGCGGACCUCAUAAGAAGUGCGUCGUAGUCCGGAUUGGGUCACACAACUCACGACUCCAUGUCGGAAUCAUGAAGCCAAUCGUGGAUCAGAAUGCCACGGUGAAUACGUUCCAGACGCCCAGCACACACCGCCCGUCACACCAUGGGAGUAGGUUGCAAAAGAAGUAAGGUAGCAACAGCUUCGGGAGGGCGCUUACCACUUUGUGAUUCACUUGACUGGGGUGAAGUCGUAACAAAAGGUAACCGUAGGGAACCUGCGGUUGGAUCACCUCCUUA
Molecule: ribosomal RNA, 1526 nt
Filed under: Salmonella enterica subsp. enterica
Lineage: Bacteria; Pseudomonadati; Pseudomonadota; Gammaproteobacteria; Enterobacterales; Enterobacteriaceae
Description: 16S ribosomal RNA
Rfam family: Bacterial small subunit ribosomal RNA
Source: RNAcentral